This is a non-coding RNA of Malus domestica (apple), 2945 nucleotides long. The record is from RefSeq and is a predicted model, not a curated record. Lineage: Eukaryota; Viridiplantae; Streptophyta; Magnoliopsida; Rosales; Rosaceae.
CAUGCAGAGAGGGAGAUAGGCGUGGGAUGGCAGGGAGGGAAAGAGACAUGGAGGAGUGAGGCUGCCAAAAAAGGGGUUAGGGUUGAUUUUUUCUCCUCAAAUCAAGGGUUGGUGUCGGUGAUUGAGUGAUUGAGAGAUUGAGAGAUUGAGAGAGACAGUAACACACGCCUUCAUUUCCCUUUCUCAAAGUGAAACCCUAGCAGCCACACCACCAACUCUAGCCGAUCUCUGCAAUAGUGUCGGCUCCUGCUUCCGAAAACCCAAACCGCACAAACCUGGCCUCCAUUUCUGUAACUCGGAGCUUCGUCUCUCUGGGUCAGAUGGACUGGCCUAAACAUCAAAUUGUCAUCAAAUGGUGGAAUAGUGGAGCGGUGUAGGUGUCUGAUAAGAAAGCAAAGGCCUGGUAUGCUUCCAAGGGAAACAUACUUUGAGACUUCUGCAAAACAGGGCUGCCAUGUAGAUGAUGCCUUCCAGUGUACAGCCAAAAACGCGCUGAAGAAUGAACCUGAAGAAGAAAUGUACACAUUGAUGGGAAAGAGGUGGCUCAAAAGCGAAGAAACAUGGUGACUUUGAGGAGGAAAAGAAAAGAGGAGAAAACACGUUUGAGAGAUUAACAGAGAAAGCGUAAGAAACAGAUGAAGGGAGGAGAUUGAGCUGAAUGAUCUCGGUCAAGCAACAAUCGUAAUUGAAUUUAUAUCAUUGGAGGGCGAAGUUGGUUCCUUGACAUUUUGAGCCGUUUGCUCUCUCCUCUCUUCGCCUCUGUUGGUCCCAAAGUGGAUGGUUUUGCGGGGAUUCAGGUUUUUAUUUUUCUGGAACUUUUGUUUGCAGCUUUGGAAGACAUUUGUGCUUAAGAACCGAAGAGGAUGUUAACAAUAACAUUAUUGUGUGAUAUGCGAUCUAAAGUUCUUUGGUGAGUUAUUUGGUUUUCUUGCCACAUGGGAUUUUAUUAUAUAUUUUUUUCGUGGUUUAUGCGUGGUUCUCUGAUGUGUUUUGAUUUUUGAUUUCAAGAAAAGUUAAGGAUACGAUCAAACGUUUACUGGUGAAUUUUCUAUUUUUCUGAUUGUGUGUGAUUUAAUUUUUUUCAAGCUUUGGGUGUACUUUUCUGAUCUGCUUUGAUUUUUAGUUGCAGCAAAAGUUGUUGCUCGAAUUUUCCAGUUUUUAUCUGCAGCUUUGCAAGCUCUUUAUCAACAAGCUUCUUCGAUCUGCAGCCCCCUUCUUUUUUUUCCUUUUCCAGAUUUAGCUUUUUUCCCCUAUAUUGUAUCUUUUGGCUGAUUUUGUGGGUCUUGGUCAGUGCUGUGGGCAUUGGUGAAUUCCUAGCAUGUUUAUGCAUGCAGUUUUUGUUAUAAUGUAUGGAUUGUGUUUUGUUCAAUUUUAAAUGUCAGAAGCUUUUAAUUUUUUUGGGUUCAAUUUUAAAUGGGUUGUUAUCAACCAUUGAAUUUCUUUUGGAGUAUUCAUUUGAUAAGAGAGAUUAUUGGGAAAUUUCUAUCGUGUUUAUGCAUGCAUUUUUUUGUUAUAGAUUUGGAAGAACAUAGCAUUACAGGGUGUUGAGGGUUUGCUGGCGGGGGAAAGUAGCAGCGUUAAGAUUUUGCAAGUGAGAUAUUAGGGUGAGAGAAAAACGGGACAAAGAGCAUCGAAGACGCAUUUGGGAUUAGGGGUAGCAAAACAGGGGAAAAGAAUAUGACAAAGGAAUGGACGCUUAAUUUUUUUCUUAACUGGUUUGGGAUUUUGCUUGCCUUUGGGGUUGUUGGUGUCAAGCCAUUUGGUGUCAAGUGGUGUCUGUUUUUUCAUAACUUUUAUUACUAAUUUUUAUUUCGUUUGCGAUUUUGUGUCCUGGGAUUUCUGAAUUUUAUCGUUCAUUGUCGGUUUUUUUAAUUUUUUUUGUCUUCAUUUGUUUGUUUAAUAUGUUGUGUUUGUGCUGGGACGCCAUUUUGCAAGUUUUCUUUCCAUUGGGACCGCUACGUUUUAUAAGUGAUGCGGGUGAGGUUUAGAUACUCAAAACACUCCAUUUUUUUUCCAAAUAUGCGCGUUUGGUUCUCUUCGGUUUUAAAUGUUUAAAAUUAAAUGGUUAUUUUGAUAAAAUGGUUUUUUAGUUUUUCUUAUGUGUUGUGAUCAGGAAUUCAAUUGGAUUGGGUAAAAUGCUUUAUCAAUUUACGUUAUAGGGAAUUUUGUGUAUUAUGGUCUGUGAGUUUUAUUGCUCAUCGUUUGUUCUUUUUUCUUUGUUUGCCGGUUUCUUUUGCAAGGGAUCACUAUAGUUUGGGCAUCUUUUCGAGUUUUAAAUUGCUUGAGGGUAAGAUUUAGAUAAUAAAAUUCGAAACGAGGCGUUACUUUUCUUUUUGGAAACUAAUUUAAAAGUUCAGCAUGGAUAGUUAACUGUGUUGAAAUGUCUUGAUAAAACCUGAACCUUUUGUUAUAUGUGAAUGUUCAUUCCUUACUACAAAUAUAAUAGGCAUAGUGGUCUAAAAAAUUAAAACCCACUGACACAUGACAUUAGAAAUUCAAACCAAUUUCUACUGUUACCAUUACCUUCUUUCAUUCAGAUCAUCAGCAUGUAGUUCAAAUCUAGAUCAAACCUAGAUGAAAUUCAAGUGAUAAGAUUUAUUGUCAUUGUUUCAAUAAUUUACAUUGUUUUAGUACCCAGGUUUACAGCAUGAGUCGAAGAUCCAAGAACAUUUUGGCAGACUUUGAUAUUGAAGACACUAAUUUUGCUCCUUGUUUUGUACUUUAAUGUCCAACUUUUUACAUGUUUUAUACACCGACACCCGCAGCAACGCGCGGGCACUAUGACUAGUCACUAUCUAUAAGGGACAAAGCCUUAUAAAGUGAGGAAACCUCUUGGUAAUGGCCAAUGUGGGACAACAAAAUUUCUACUCAAAAUUUCUAACAAAAGUCCCAUAUUGGUGAGGGAAAGGAAGAAUUUAAAUAAAAUUACCGCUCUAACUAACACC